Molecule: non-coding RNA, 2961 nt
Organism: Ictidomys tridecemlineatus (thirteen-lined ground squirrel)
Lineage: Eukaryota; Metazoa; Chordata; Mammalia; Rodentia; Sciuridae
Source: RefSeq, a predicted model, not a curated record
GUCAUUUCCCAGCCUCACAUUACCAGUCCCAUCCCUGUUUUCCAGCCAGCCCGAAUGACAAAGCCACUCACAAGAAGUCAUUCAGGGAUUUCCCAAAAGGUGAGGAGGGAAAGGUAGAUAGUAUGGGUUAACAAGAGCAAGCCUCAUUUCCAAGUCUAGAGGGGUGCUCCAGCUAAAUGGACCCCACUUAGCAGCUGCUCCUGCAAGGAACUCUCCUACAUGCAGGGAUACACAAGACUUUCUGGAGAGAAUACAAUGAAGCUGGGGGCUAGAAGAAAAUCAGAAUAUGUGUUCACUCCUCCCUCCCAUAAAGAAGGCUUCAUACAUGUCAAGUCUUUAACUUGAGGAGACUGAAAAAAAAAAAAAAACAAUAUGGAUGGACAUGAGAACUGCCAGGAGGUAGAAAGAGUAUAGAGUCAGUGACCCCCAAGGGUGGGAACAGCUGCUAGGGCAGACACUUGCGUUCUGCUAACAUUCUUUUUUCGAAAAACCAGGCCAUCUCCAGGUAAAAUCCUUCACAAGGAAGAGGAUGGAGUAGGAAAGCUAGGAUUAGCAAGAGAGAUGAUAAGAUGUUUGGGUUACAUGGAGGCAAGCACCUGGAACCAAGUCUUCCCUGCAGACCUGAAGGAUUUCCACGCAGGGCCGUCCUCCCUUGGCUCUCCGGGACAGCCCAUCGCCUCGCAGCAUUCCUCAACACAACGGUGGAGACAGAACAGACAGCUGCUGUCCAAGGGCAAGGAGUGAAGGUUAUUAACAAGUAUGCAGAACACAACCGACACAACAAUCCCUACGGCACCCUGUGGCCUCUGAAUCCUGCCAUGUCUCUCUCCAAGGCCACAACAAAGUGGUCCAUUCAAUACACUGGAGGAGCUGCUGCUGAAUUUCUUAAAACAUGAAAUAGGCAAAAGGAUCCUUAAUCCUGUGUAAUGAAAAUGACACUGAACCAAGACCCAAGAGAUGUAGAUUCCAGUGCUAUCUCUGCUAUAGAUAAGCUUAUGUCCAUUAUUGGGCCUCAUAAAAUAUUUAAAGAAGUUAACAAUUCUGAUAAUAGUAAUGUUAAUGAUGGCUACUUUUUACUAAGCUGCUACACUACUAUGUGCCAGACAGCUAACCUAUUUUAUAUCUAUUCUUUAACACAAACCUAUGAGGCUGUUUCAUGACUUGCGUUUUGCUGAUGAGAGACUUGAACUGAAAAGAGUCCAAAGGACUUGCCAAAGGUCACAGUAACUUAAAAACUUGUGGCUUGAAUUGAUACUUUUCUGUUUUUGACAAAACACAGAAUUCUUGUGUCUGCCGAGACAUCUGGGUGCUAAAAGAAGGGCUCCUUCUCCAUUCAGCUUUCCUUUCCUGCCUGCUCAUCCACAUGGUCUCCCUCAAUUCAUUAGUGUUGCCUGGGAUCCUAUCGUGACCAAGCUUUCUGCCAGACAGAAAGCCUUCAGUGAAGAGUGAUCUGAGGUCCUCUCAGAGCUUCACUGCUAAACCUCUUCAAGUAUUCAGGUAUGGUGAGAUGAACAGACGAGGAGAGAAUGUUUUUGUUUCUGGGAGGAGAGGGCCAUGCUAUGCAGGCCACACUGAGGAGCACCAAGGUAGGUGAGGUGGCAGGGUGGGAAGUGCAGGCAAAGUAUUUAUUCUGUUUUUUUGCAGAGAAUAAUGGGAAAACAAGGUUAGCAGGCCUAGGGUUGUCUAGUUUGAACAAUACCAGCAGGCUUUGGGGUAUAGGGGCUAUCUUGAGCUGUCUCAAACAUGGCCCUGGGAUGAACAGGGGAGAGGAAUAGGCCUCCUACAGAGUAAGAACCAAAUUAUGGGCUAUGGAUUGGUUAGCUUGCAUGAGAAAGGCACAAUCCUGGGUGAAUCAUUUGCAAUUUCAAAGAACUGGCUAGUCCUGGCAGGGGCAAUCUUUCCCUGGACAGAAAAGCCCCAGAUUCUUGAAUAUCAAAAAUAGAGAAAAUAAGAAAAAUAUAGUCAAUAUCAUGUGGCCUGGGUUGCCAAGCAUCCCCUGAACCCUCCCUUCUACCUGCUGCAUGGUGCUCCAGGGCAUCUACCACUUUUACUCUCCAGUCUCUCAGUGUUUCCUUCAACCCAGUGUUGCCUUCGGUUUUCCACCACUACAAAUAAUACUUUAAUGAAAAUCCUCAUACAUACCUCCUUAUGGACCUAUGUAAGAAUUUCAUUGGGCUAUAUAUCUUAGAGUGGAAUUGCUGGGUCAGAGGGUGUGAGUAUAUUAAUUCAACUCAAUAAAGCUAGCCUGCACUCUAGAACUACUGCACUCUCACCAGUAAAGCAUUGAAGGGUCCUAUAAUCAGGUGACAUUUGCCAUGAUCUGUUUUUUUUUUUAAUUGUUCUAGCUUAAUGAGUACCAAGUAAUCAUUAAUUUGUAUACUAGUUUACAUUUCUCUUAUUUCUAAUAAGUGUGAUUUCAUUCAGCUUUGUUCCCUAGAACUACACAAUAUGUUUGCUAAACUGAUUCUAGGUAAGCAAUAAAUGGUGAAUGCAAAAUGACAGGCAGUUUUUCUUUGAGUUGCAGAUGUACAAUAUGCUUAGCUCUUGUUCAUCCCACCAGAAGCUCAUGGACAAAGCACUAACUACAACAGGCACAAAACUUUGAUUUUGACUUUGAUGGGUGAGACCAGAGACUGCUGCAACCACUUCAAAGACAAUAACUUGUGUAUUGAAUAUUUGUCCUAAAGUGACAGGUCAGGAAACCAGAAAGGGUACAAUUCCAGUAUCUUCUAGGUCAUUCAUACUUGAAGGCUGAAGGACUAGGAUGUAGAAGUGCAAAAAAACUAUUUCAUUUCUAUACUACUGGAUUCCACAGUAUGAAGCCACUGAAAUAUUGAAAUAGUCUAUUGAAUAUGAGCUAAUCAGAGCAGAAAUCUAGACAAUGGAGUAAAGAAUAGUAUUUAAUACCUGAAUUCUGUAAUAUAUACAUAUAGUUAUUUAUGUAAAUACAUGUGAAUGUGU